This 610-nucleotide ribosomal RNA is filed under the name uncultured bacterium. RNAcentral's name for it is "bacterial SSU rRNA". It matches the Rfam family "Bacterial small subunit ribosomal RNA", at positions 812 to 1422 of the family's 1533-position model. The record is from RNAcentral.
AGUGCUAGGUGUUAGGCCCUUUCCGGGGCUUAGUGCCGCAGCUAACGCAUUAAGCACUCCGCCUGGGGAGUACGACCGCAAGGUUGAAACUCAAAGGAAUUGACGGGGGCCCGCACAAGCGGUGGAGCAUGUGGUUUAAUUCGAAGCAACGCGAAGAACCUUACCAGGUCUUGACAUCCCAGUGACCGCUCUAGAGAUAGAGUUUUUCUUCGGAACACUGGUGACAGGUGGUGCAUGGUUGUCGUCAGCUCGUGUCGUGAGAUGUUGGGUUAAGUCCCGCAACGAGCGCAACCCUUAUUGUUAGUUGCCAUCAUUCAGUUGGGCACUCUAGCGAGACUGCCGGUAAUAAACCGGAGGAAGGUGGGGAUGACGUCAAAUCAUCAUGCCCCUUAUGACCUGGGCUACACACGUGCUACAAUGGUUGGUACAACGAGUCGCAAGUCGGUGACGGCAAGCAAAUCUCUUAAAGCCAAUCUCAGUUCGGAUUGUAGGCUGCAACUCGCCUACAUGAAGUCGGAAUCGCUAGUAAUCGCGGAUCAGCACGCCGCGGUGAAUACGUUCCCGGGCCUUGUACACACCGCCCGUCACACCACGAGAGUUUGUAACACCC